RNAcentral lists this ribosomal RNA (223 nucleotides) under uncultured bacterium. Its description in RNAcentral is "partial 16S ribosomal RNA". It matches the Rfam family "Bacterial small subunit ribosomal RNA", at positions 328 to 539 of the family's 1533-position model. The record is from RNAcentral.
ACGCUCGACACCUACGGGAGGCCGCAGUAGGGAAUCUUCCACAAUGGACGCAAGUCUGAUGGAGCAACGCCGCGUGAGUGAAGAAGGUUUUCGGAUCGUAAAGCUCUGUUGUUGGUGAAGAAGGAUAGAGGUAGUAACUGGCCUUUAUUUGACGGUAAUCAACCAGAAAGUCACGGCUAACUACGUGCCUGCAGCCGCGGUAAUCUGAGCGGGCUGGCAAGGC